UCGGGAAUUUUGGGCAAUGGGCGAAAGCCUGACCCAGCAACGCCGCGUGAAGGAUGAAGUCUCUCGGGAUGUAAACUUCGUAAGAAUAGGAAGAAUAAAUGACGGUACUAUUUGUAAGGUCCGGCUAACUACGUGCCAGCAGCCGCGGUAAUACGUAGGGACCAAGCGUUGUUCGGAUUUACUGGGCGUAAAGGGCGCGUAGGCGGCGUGGUAAGUCACUUGUGAAAUCUCCGAGCUUAACUCGGAACGGUCAAGUGAUACUGCUGUGCUAGAGUACAGAAGGGGCAAUCGGAAUUCUUGGUGUAGCGGUGAAAUGCGUAGAUAUCAAGAGGAACACCUGAGGUGAAGACGGGUUGCUGGGCUGAUACUGACGCUGAGGCGCGAAAGCUAGGGUAGCAAACGGGGAUUAGAUACCCUUGUAGUCCCUGAGCGGGCUGGCAAGGCGCAU
Molecule: ribosomal RNA, 448 nt
Filed under: uncultured bacterium
Lineage: Bacteria
Description: bacterial SSU rRNA
Rfam family: Bacterial small subunit ribosomal RNA
Source: RNAcentral